Molecule: ribosomal RNA, 574 nt
Filed under: Salmonella enterica subsp. enterica serovar Typhimurium
Lineage: Bacteria; Pseudomonadati; Pseudomonadota; Gammaproteobacteria; Enterobacterales; Enterobacteriaceae
Description: partial 23S ribosomal RNA
Rfam family: Bacterial large subunit ribosomal RNA
Source: RNAcentral
GGGUUGUGAGGUUAAGCGACUAAGCGUACACGGUGGAUGCCCUGGCAGUCAGAGGCGAUGAAGGGCGUGCUAAUCUGCGAUAAGCGCCGGUAAGGUGAUAUGAACCGUUAUAACCGGCGAUACCCGAAUGGGGAAACCCAGUGUGACUCGUCACACUAUCAUUAACUGAAUCCAUAGGUUAAUGAGGCGAACCGGGGGAACUGAAACAUCUAAGUACCCCGAGGAAAAGAAAUCAACCGAGAUUCCCCCAGUAGCGGCGAGCGAACGGGGAGGAGCCCAGAGCCUGAAUCAGCAUGUGUGUUAGUGGAAGCGUCUGGAAAGGCGCGCGAUACAGGGUGACAGCCCCGUACACAAAAGCGCAUGUGCUGUGAGCUCGAUGAGUAGGGCGGGACACGUGGUAUCCUGUCUGAAUAUGGGGGGACCAUCCUCCAAGGCUAAAUACUCCUGACUGACCGAUAGUGAACCAGUACCGUGAGGGAAAGGCGAAAAGAACCCCGGCGAGGGGAGUGAAAAAGAACCUGAAACCGUGUACGUACAAGCAGUGGGAGCACCCUUCGGGGUGUGACUGCGUACC